This 431-nucleotide ribosomal RNA is filed under the name uncultured bacterium. RNAcentral's name for it is "bacterial SSU rRNA". It matches the Rfam family "Bacterial small subunit ribosomal RNA", at positions 917 to 1345 of the family's 1533-position model. The record is from RNAcentral.
GGACCCGCACAAGCAGUGGAGCAUGUGGUUUAAUUCGAAGAUACGCGCAGAACCUUACCAACACUUGACAUGUUCGUCGCGAGCCUAAGAGAUUAGGCUUUUCAGUUUGGCUGGACGAAACACAGGUGCUGCAUGGCUGUCGUCAGCUCGUGUCGUGAGAUGUUGGGUUAAGUCCCGCAACGAGCGCAACCCCCUACUUUUAGUUGCCACCAUUUAGUUGGGCACUUUAAAAGAACUGCCAGUGAUAAGCUGGAGGAAGGUGGGGAUGACGUCAAGUCCUCAUGGCCCUUAUGUGUUGGGCUACACACGUGCUACAAUGGCACUUACAAUGGGAAGCAAAGAGGCGACUCUAAGCUAAUCCCAAAAAUGUGUCUCAGUUCGGAUUGUACUCUGUAACUCGAGUGCAUGAAGCUGGAAUUGCUAGUAAUCGC